This 640-nucleotide ribosomal RNA is filed under the name uncultured archaeon. RNAcentral's name for it is "bacterial SSU rRNA". It matches the Rfam family "Archaeal small subunit ribosomal RNA", at positions 200 to 842 of the family's 1478-position model. The record is from RNAcentral.
CACCUGAGGAUGGGACUGCGUCGGAUUAGCUUGUUGUCGGGAUAAUUACCCGACAAGGCGAUAAUCCGUACGGGUUGUGAGAGCAAUAGCCCGGAGAUGGAUUCUGAGACAUGAAUCCAGGUCCUACGGGACGCAGCAGGCGCGAAACCUUCACAAUGCCUGAAAGGGUGAUGAGGGAACUCUGAGUGACUUCGCAAUGCGAAGUCUUUUGCCAAGUGCAAAAAGCUCGGUGAAUAAGUGGUGGGCAAGACAGUUGCCAGCCGCCGCGGUAAUAACUGCGCCACGAGUGGUGAUCUCGUUUAUUGGGCUUAAAGCGUUCGUAGCCGGUUUUAUAAGCAUCUGGUGAAAUCCGAUAGUAAACUAUUGGGCUGGCUAGGUGUACUGUAAGACUAGGGACCGGUAGGGGCCGGGAGUACUCCUAGGGUAGGGGUUAAAUCCUUUAAUCCUAGGGGGACUACCAGUGGCGAAGGCGCCCGGCUAGAACGGGUCCGACGGUGAGGGACGAAAGCUGGGGGAGCGAUCCGGAUUAGAUACCCGGGUAGUCCCAGCUGUAAACGAUGCCCGCUUGGUGUGGUGAAACUUUCGUGGUUUUGCCGUACCGUAGCGAAAGUGUUAAACGGGCCGCCUGGGAAGUACGACC